RNAcentral lists this long non-coding RNA (3322 nucleotides) under Manihot esculenta (cassava). RNAcentral's name for it is "long non-coding RNA (MESC_LNC002976)". The record is from RNAcentral. Lineage: Eukaryota; Viridiplantae; Streptophyta; Magnoliopsida; Malpighiales; Euphorbiaceae.
GAAACUACGAGGAUUGGGACAAAACCUAGACGCAACGACAUUACAGGACCAUGUUUUUGAGAAAGCUGCCAUAAGUAGGAAUGAGGGUUUAAGCUAUCAAAUUGAUGCAAGUUGCCUAUGAAUGGAAGACCCUUUGGACCAGGUGGCAAAUGAAGAUUUCUUUUGGUUUUGAGUUUUCGGAGAAGAAAUGAAAGAAGGAAUGGAAGAGCUAACAGGAGAAGUAAAAGCAAAACCAUUUUGUGUGUUUCAAAUCUGAAUAUGAGAUAUUAUAAAAAGGAGACCACUGGUUACAUAUAUAUAAAUACAGAUCUUUUCCUUUGUUGGAGCAGCUGACGAAACUCGUAUUGCUCCAAAGAAGAAUUAUUUGUUAAGUUGCUUUCACUUGCACGGAGCACAAAAUUCUUAAAACACGACAGUGUGUAUGAAAAUGAACAAUUUGACAUUACAGCCCAGCCAAAUACUAUAUAUAUUGGUAGAAUUGAUAACACAAGACUGGAUUUCAGAAGCUGCCACUCAAUCUUAUCUCACAGAAAGACUUUAUCUAUCUUACAGAAAGAUUUUUCUCGCAAACCCACUUGUCAGGUAUAAUUUUCUAACUCCAACAUCUAAUAAUUCAAAAUAGUUAAGAAAGAAUUGUUAUUAAGUCUUUGACUGUUUAAAAAAUUUAUUAUUUCAUUGUUAUUUUAAAAUCAUUCAAUAUAUUCUUUAUUAUUGUAGUAAAAAAAUUGUUCAUCAAUUUAUUUUAAUAUUCAUCAAAAGAAAUAAAUAGUAUGAAUAUUUAAAAUUUUAAAAAUUAAAUAAUAUAUAAUUAAAAUUAAUAAAAUUAAAUAUUAUAAAUAAUUUAAAACUUUUUUAAUAGAAUUAAAGAAUUGAAUUUUAUAAAAUACUAUAUUGGUAGAAUUGAUAGCACAAGACUAGAUUUCAGACAUUAUGGUUUACUAUUAUUUUAGUGAGUUCAAUCUUAUGUCACGAAAAGAUUUUUUCUCACAAACUCACUAGUUGGUAUAAUUUUCUAACUCAGUGAUAGCAAUUGUAAUAUCUACCUAAAUCUAUUAAAUAAUUUGUAAAAUAUCUGUUCACAUGAGUUAAAAUAGUUAUGGAAAGUUACUUUCAGAUCCCUAAAUUUUUAAAAAAUUCAUUACUUUUAUUUUUAUUUUAAAAUCAUUUAAUUAAAAUAUUUUUUAUUUUAUAAAAUUAAACUCUUUAAUUUUUCUGUCAAAAAAUAAUUAAUCCAUUUAUUAUAAUUUUAUCAACAUAAUUAAAUAGAUGAAUAUUUAAAAUUUUAAAAAUUAAAUAAUACAUAUGAUUAAAAUUAUAAAAAUUAAACAUUAUAAAUCAUUCAAGACAAUUAAUAAUUUUUUAAUAAAAAGAUUAAAAAAUUAAAUUUUACAAAAUAUAAAAACAUUAAUCAAGUAAUAUAUAGUGUAAUUUUGACGUUAACUCAAGGAUUUAUUUAUUUAAUAAUUAAUUUAAAUUAUUUAAUAAUUUUAAACAAAUUAUUAUAUACUUUGCAAAAUUCCUGAUAUGGAAAUUAAUCCCACCGCCAUGGGUGUGACGGCCAUGACCAAGACCUUGCCAUUGUUUCUUUGUCUGUAUUGGAUUUAGGAGCUUUUAUACACGUAUGAUCAACUUGAUGACUACGAAGACAAAUCCUUGCCACCGUUCCGUUUUUAUUUUGGAUCAGAAAUAAGUCCAUUUAAAACUUUCGUAAUUUUGUUUGAAUGCCAAACAAUUCAACUUAUUUUUUUAUCAUUAAAUUUUGUAUUGGCAGAAAAUAAUUUAUCUUUAAAAUAUUUUUAAUAAAAUAACAUAUUUUUUAUUAUUUAAUUUUAAUAUAAAAGUAAAAUAUAUUAAUAAAUUUAUAUAUAACCAUUUAAUAAAAUUUUCAUAAAAUAUAAAAAAUAAUUUCCUAAUAAAAAAUUAUUUUUUAAAAUAUUUUUUUUAUAGAUUAAAUUUAAAUAAAGAAUGUGAAAAAUUAUUUUUUUAAAAAAUAUUUUUCAUAAAACAAUAAAAGCUAUAAAGAAAGAGAAUCACAAAAUUUAAAAAUGAAAAUCCAUGUAUUUCAUUUUCAGAAAUGUGAAAAUAAAUCACAAAAUUUGAGAAUGAAAAUUUUUGUGUUUCAUUGUGAGGAAUGUAAAAAUAUACACACCAGAUUCACUCUUAUUUAGGAAAAUCUUAAAAAUAUAAAAUUUCCUAUAUGAUACAAACUAAACUUCUUAUGUUGUAUAAACUAAACUUUUUAUACACACAAGACAAAGAAAAAAAGAAAAGAUAUUCACAUAGAACAAGUCGGUAGAACGUCAAGAUGGCAGACAGGUUGGUAGGACCCAAGAUGGCAAACAGGUCAAUAUAGGUCGAUAGGUCGUCAAGACUUCUGGUCAACAGGUCGGAUCAUCAGGACGCCUAGUUGACAUGUUCCAAUACCCCCCUCAAGAUGGAGCAUGAAGGUUCCGAAUGCCCAACUUGCUAAGGAGAAAAUGAAAUUGAUUUUUGCCUGAGGCCUUGGUGAAAAUAUUAGUUAGUUGCACCGAAUUGCGGACGUAGAGAGUGCGAAUGUUGCACAAUAGAUUUCAUUGCGAAUAAAGUGGCAGUCCACUUCAAUGUGACACACCAAGAGAGAUCAGUAGGCCUUUCAGUAGGUGAGUAAUCUGUAACAAAAAAACCCAAGAACUUAUCAAUAAAACCCGAGAAAGGAAAGUAAUCUGCAACAAAAAAACACAUAAACAAGGCCUGAGCUUCUUUCAGCAACUCUUGAAAUCUACUCCUUCCAACCCCAUCUUCCUCGUACCUCUUCCCGAAAGCAACCCUACAAAUUAUAGUACUUGUAAGCGACAUCAUGGCUUCAGACAAGUUUACAGGUUUCGAGGCAACGGCUGAUUUGGAGAUCUUUUCAAGCAUAUGGGAAAGUUCAAAUUCUCUAAUGGGACGGAAACUUUGCACUCUAUUAGAGUUGAAGAGAUAAACCAUACAAAUUUUUCUUAUCUCUCUCCAAUAAGCAUUAUAAGGUGAAAAAGCCAAGUCUAAACCAUUGUACGACAACCUUUGCUGGCCAACUAAAGCAGGCCUGCUACAGAAUAUAAGAUCAUGGGUUUUCAUGACUGCUUCAGCCAUUUUGGCAGAGGAAACUACGAGGAUUGGGACAAAACCUAGACGCAACGACAUUACAGGACCAUGUUUUUGAGAAAGUUGCCAUAAGUAGGAAUGAGGGUUUAAGCUAUCAAAUUGAUGCAAGUUGCCUAUGAAUGGAAGACCCUUUGGACCAGGUGGCAAAUGAAGAUUUCUUUUGGUUUUGAGUUUUCGGAGAAGAAAUGAAAGAAGGAAU